Molecule: long non-coding RNA, 203 nt
Organism: Thalassophryne amazonica
Lineage: Eukaryota; Metazoa; Chordata; Actinopteri; Batrachoidiformes; Batrachoididae
Exons: 3
Source: RefSeq, a predicted model, not a curated record
AAGGCAAAAGACAACAGGCAUGGAAGUCUACAGUAGUAUCUGGCAAUUAAAGAACAUAAAGUCUGGGUUUAAAAAGUCUCUCAAUAAUCAGUCAUAAUCCGAACCUGGUAAGCAGUACAAAUUAAGGCCGCCAUCUAGUGGAGAACAGAAUAUAAUACCAAAACAGAACAAAGGGUUCUAUCUAGUGGAGAGAAAAAGUCAUU